GAGUUUGAUCAUGGCUCAGAUUGAACGCUGGCGGCAUGCCUAACACAUGCAAGUCGAACGCGAAAGCUCCUUCGGGAGUGAGUAGAGUGGCGGACGGGUGAGUAACGCGUGGGAAUCUGCCCAGUAGUUGGGGACAACUCGGGGAAACUCGAGCUAAUACCGAAUACGCCCUACGGGGGAAAGAUGGCCUCUACUUGUAAGCUAUCGCUAUUGGAUGAGCCCGCGUCGGAUUAGCUAGUUGGUGAGGUAAGAGCUCACCAAGGCGACGAUCCGUAGCUGGUCUGAGAGGAUGAUCAGCCACACUGGGACUGAGACACGGCCCAGACUCCUACGGGAGGCAGCAGUGGGGAAUAUUGGACAAUGGGGGCAACCCUGAUCCAGCAAUGCCGCGUGUGUGAAGAAGGCCUGCGGGUUGUAAAGCACUUUCAGAAGUGAAGAGGGGCGAGUCAGCUAAUACCUGUCUCGUUUGACAUUAGCUUCAGAAGAAGCACCGGCUAACUCCGUGCCAGCAGCCGCGGUCA
This 521-nucleotide ribosomal RNA is filed under the name uncultured Gammaproteobacteria bacterium. RNAcentral describes it as "bacterial SSU rRNA". It matches the Rfam family "Bacterial small subunit ribosomal RNA", at positions 9 to 523 of the family's 1533-position model. The record is from RNAcentral. Lineage: Bacteria; Pseudomonadati; Pseudomonadota; Gammaproteobacteria.